UGCAGUCGAGCGAUGGAUUGAGAGCUUGCUCUCAAGAAGUUAGCGGCGGACGGGUGAGUAACACGUGGGUAACCUGCCCAUAAGACUGGGAUAACUCCGGGAAACCGGGGCUAAUACCGGAUAACAUUUUGAACUGCAUGGUUCGAAAUUGAAAGGCGGCUUCGGCUGUCACUUAUGGAUGGACCCGCGUCGCAUUAGCUAGUUGGUGAGGUAACGGCUCACCAAGGCAACGAUGCGUAGCCGACCUGAGAGGGUGAUCGGCCACACUGGGACUGAGACACGGCCCAGACUCCUACGGGAGGCAGCAGUAGGGAAUCUUCCGCAAUGGACGAAAGUCUGACGGAGCAACGCCGCGUGAGUGAUGAAGGCUUUCGGGUCGUAAAACUCUGUUGUUAGGGAAGAACAAGUGCUAGUUGAAUAAGCUGGCACCUUGACGGUACCUAACCAGAAAGCCACGGCUAACUACGUGCCAGCAGCCGCGGUAAUACGUAGGUGGCAAGCGUUAUCCGGAAUUAUUGGGCGUAAAGCGCGCGCAGGUGGUUUCUUAAGUCUGAUGUG
Molecule: ribosomal RNA, 558 nt
Filed under: Bacillus sp. RZ1MS18
Lineage: Bacteria; Bacillati; Bacillota; Bacilli; Caryophanales; Bacillaceae
Description: bacterial SSU rRNA
Rfam family: Bacterial small subunit ribosomal RNA
Source: RNAcentral